This 236-nucleotide ribosomal RNA is filed under the name uncultured bacterium. RNAcentral describes it as "partial 16S ribosomal RNA". It matches the Rfam family "Bacterial small subunit ribosomal RNA", at positions 118 to 354 of the family's 1533-position model. The record is from RNAcentral.
UGAGCAAUCUGCCCUUCUCUUUGGAAUAAGCGUUGGAAACGACGUCUAAUGCCGAAUACGACCUCCUUUCGCAUGAUCGGAGGUGGAAAGCUCCGGCGGAGAAGGAAGAGCUCGCGGCCUAUCAGCUAGUUGGUGUGGGUAAUGGCCCACCAAGGCGACGACGGGUAGCCGGCCUGAGAGGGUGACCGGCCACACUGGGACUGAGACACGGCCCAGACUCCUACGGGAGCAGCAGG